Molecule: ribosomal RNA, 494 nt
Filed under: uncultured bacterium
Lineage: Bacteria
Description: partial 16S ribosomal RNA
Rfam family: Bacterial small subunit ribosomal RNA
Source: RNAcentral
GACGAACGCUGGCGGCGUGCUUAACACAUGCAAGUCGAACGGUGAAGCGCCUUCCUUUUUGGUGGGUGUGGAUGAGUGGCGAACGGGUGAGUAACACGUGAGUAACCUGCCCCCUUCUUCUGGAUAACCGCAUGAAAGUGUGGCUAAUACGGGAUAUUCUGGGUCUGUCGCAUGAUGGGUCUGGGAAAGAUAUUGUUUCGGUGGGGGAUGGGCUCGCGGCCUAUCAGCUUGUUGGUGGGGUGAUGGCCUACCAAGGCGGUGACGGGUAGCCGGCCUGAGAGGGUGGACGGUCACACUGGGACUGAGACACGGCCCAGACUGCUACAGGAGGCAGCGGAGGGGAAUAUUGCACAAUGGGGGCAAGCCUGAUGCGGCGACGCCGCGUGAGGGAUGGAGGCCUUCGGGUUGUGAACCUCUUUCGCCAGUGAAGCAGGCCUGCCUCGUUUGUGGGUGGGUUGACGGUAGCUGGAUAAGAAGCGCCGGCUAACUACGUG